Cannabis sativa is the source of this 4575-nucleotide RNA transcript. It is a transcript of the gene named pentatricopeptide repeat-containing protein At4g13650, with no coding region annotated. The transcript is spliced from 3 exons. NCBI's taxonomy places the organism in Eukaryota, Viridiplantae, Streptophyta, Magnoliopsida, Rosales, Cannabaceae. The record is from RefSeq and is a predicted model, not a curated record.
AAAUUUAUUCCCAAAAAGUUUUAUUGAGCUUUCUUUGGAUGUCUUCUUCCCUUUCCCAACCUCUGGCUCUGCUCUUCCACUUCCUCUGCCAUUUAUAAGCUAUCUGUUUCAUACUUCACUCUCAAAACCCCAACUUCAAUGUCCACUCAAUAACAUCCUAAUUCCCGUUUGUCUCUUCUCUAAGCUCACUCACUACUCCAUUUUAAUCAUGCCAUGACAUAAACUGUUUGUUAAAAUGCCUCUGAGAGUUCAAGUCAUUGGGCCAGCAAAAAAAAUGCUAACUUGUUAAUAAAGUCAUUCAUUUUCAUGUUCAUUGAUAAUUAUAAAGAAUGAAGCUUUCCCAGUAUUUCUAUAUAAGGAUGAAGUUUCAUUGUAUAUUGUGUUAACCCCAGUUGAUAAAUGACUCUUCUUGCUAAGUCAUUGAUGGUUUGUGACUCCAUUCAACUCCUUCAUUCCCCACUUUCAGCCUCUCUUCUAAGCAGCUUGUGUCAUUCCCUAACAUGUAAAUUCAAGCCCCAUUCUUCUUUGAGGGUCUUCUCUUUUAGCAACAACAAUCACAAGUUAAAUUCAGCUGGUUUUAGUUGUGCUGCAACUUCCCAUGUUUAUGAUGAAAUCCCUCUUAAUGAAAGUGAAGGUUCCAACUCAGUUGGAGUUGAUUUCCUGCGGUUGAUGGAAGAACGUGGUAUUCGUGCUAAUCUUCAAACUUAUCUAUGGCUUUUAGAGGGGUGUCUAAAUUCUGGGUCUUUGGUAGAUGCUAGGAAGCUUCAUUGCAGAAUUUUAAAGUUGGGUUUUAAUGGGGAACUUGUCAUGUGUGAUAGGCUUAUGGAAACUUAUAUUUCUUGUGAUAAUUUCGAAGGGGCUGUUAAAGUUCUUGAUGAAAUGUCUAUUAGAAGUUUAUCUUCUUGGAAUAAGAUAAUUCAAGCUUUACUAGCAAGGAAAUUGAUUUCUCAAGUAUUGGUUAUGUAUCAUAAGAUGGUAAUGAAUAAUAUUGAUCCUAAUGAAACCACUUUUGCUGGAAUUUUAAAGGUCUGUGGCUAUGGUGAUGUUGGUUUCGAUUAUGUUAAACAAAUUCAUGCAAGAAUUAUUGGUCAUGGAUUUGAUACAGCUCCAUUGGUAUGCAAUCUAUUGAUCGAUUUAUAUUCCAAAAAGGGGUAUGUAGAUUCUGCCAGAAAGGUCUUUGAUAAAUUGGUUUUGAGGGAUAGUGUUUCUUGGGUUGCAAUUAUUUCCGGUUUGUCUCAGAAUGGACGUGAAAAGGAAGCUGUUAUGCUUUUCUGCCAAAUGCACACAUCAGGAAUCUCCCCUACUCCAUAUGUUUUUUCAAGUGUUCUAAGUGCUUGUACCAAAGUAGAAUUGUUUAACAUGGGAGAGCAAAUUCAUGGUCUUGUUUUCAAGGGAGGUUUUUCUUCGGAAAGAUAUGUGUGCAAUGCUCUUGUAACACUAUAUGCUCGCUCGGGAAACUUGAUAUCUUCAGAGAAAGUCUUUAGUGCAAUGCAGAACAGGGAUGGAGUUUCAUAUAACUCCCUUAUCUCGGGUCUAGCUCAGUCUGGUUUUGGUGAUAGAGCCUUAAAAUUGUACGAGAAAAUGCAACAUGACCGUUUAAAACCAGACUGUGUCACAGUGGCAAGUCUUUUAAGCGCCUGUGCAUCUGUCGGGGCACUCGAUAAAGGAAAACAACUUCAUUCAUAUGCUAUAAAAGCAGGAAUGUCUUCAGAUAUUAUCAUUGAAGGUUCUCUGUUAGAUCUAUAUGUUAAGUGUUCUGAUUUGCAUACUGCUUAUGAAUUUUUCAUUACAACAGAGACAGAAAAUGUGGUACUAUGGAAUGUGAUGCUAGUUGCUUAUGGACAGUUAGAAGAUCUAAGCCAAUCAUUUGAAAUUUAUAGGCAGAUGCUGAUAGAAGGCAUUAUUCCCAAUGAAUUCACUUAUCCAAGUAUUCUGAGAACUUGUACUGCUGUUGGGCAACUUGAUCUAGGAGAACAAAUCCAUACUCAAGUAAUAAAAACUGGAUUUCAGCUCAAUGUCUAUGCGUGUAGUGUACUUAUCGACAUGUAUGCUAAAAUUGGGAAGCUUGAUACUGCUCUGGAAAUUCUAAGAAGACUUAAGGAGGAGGAUGUUGUCUCAUGGACUGCUAUGAUUGCAGGGUAUACACAGCAUGAUAUGUUUUCGGAAGCUCUUAAAUUGUUUGUAGAAAUGGAAAAUCGAGGGAUCAAACCCGACAACAUAGGUUUUGCGAGUGCCAUCACCGCAUGUGCUGGUAUUAAGUCACUGGCUUGGGGAAAACAAAUCCAUGCUCGGUCUUGUAUUUUGGGCUAUUCAGAUGAUAUCUCGAUCCAAAACGCUCUUGUAAGUCUUUAUGCAAGAUGCGGUAGCAUACAGGAAGCUUACUUGGCAUUUGAGAAAAAUGAUAGUAAAGAUAACAUAUCGUGGAAUGCAUUAAUCUCAGGCUUUGCACAGAGCGGUUACUGUGAGGAAGCACUGCAGGUAUUUUCCGAAAUGAAUAGAGCUGGUGUUAAGGCUAACUUGUUCACAUUUGGUUCUACAGUGAGUGCUGCAGCUAAUUUAGCAAAUGUAAAACAAGGAACACAGUUUCAUGCCAUGAUCAUUAAAACAGGAUACAGUUCAGAAACCGAGGUUUCUAAUGUUCUAAUCACUUUAUAUGCAAAAUGUGGAAGAAUUGAUGAUGCUCAGAGAGAAUUUUCUGAAAUGCCUGAAAAGAAUGAAGUUUCAUGGAAUGCAAUGAUUACUGGCUAUUCUCAACAUGGACUUGGUAUUGAAGCUCUAAAUCUUUUCGAGCAGAUGAAACAACUCGGUCUGACUCCAAACCAUGUCACUUUUGUUGGGGUUUUGUCAGCUUGUAGUCAUGUAGGUUUGGUUGACAAGGGACUUGCCUACUUUGAUUCUAUGAGCAAAGAGUAUGGUUUAAUUCCCCAUCCCGAACAUUACGUGUGUGUUGUUGAUCUUUUAAGUCGAGCUGGUCUACUCAACGAAGCAAAAGUAUUCAUAGAGAAGAUGCCAAUAAAACCAGAUGCAAUUGUGUGGAGGACCCUAUUGAGUUCUUGUACAGUUCAUAAAAAUGCAGAAAUUGGAGAGUAUGCUGCCCAUCAUCUUCUCGAGUUGGAACCCGAGGACUCAGCUACAUAUGUACUCCUAUCAAAUCUAUAUGCAAUAGCAAAGAAAUGGGAUUUCAGGGAUCAAACUAGGAGAUUGAUGAGAGAAAAGGGUGUGAAGAAAGAGCCUGGUCGUAGUUGGAUUGAGAUUAACAACUCGUUUCAUGCAUUCUUCGUCGGUGACAGACUCCAUCCACUCGCAGAUAAGAUAUAUGACUUCUUAGCUCAUUUGAAUACUCGUGCUGCUGAAUUUGGAUAUGUGCAGGACUGUUAUUACCUCUUAAACGAGGUAGAACAAGAGCAGAGAGAUCCAACAACAUACAUUCAUAGCGAGAAACUGGCGAUAUCUUUUGGACUCCUUAGCUCUACUAAUAGCCGUCGUCCUAUACAUGUGAUUAAGAAUCUUCGCGUUUGUAAUGAUUGCCAUAAUUGGAUUAAGUAUGUAUCGAGAUUCUCAAAUCGAGCUAUCAUAGUAAGGGAUGCAUACCGUUUUCAUCAUUUUGAAGGCGGUUUCUGUUCAUGUAAAGAUUAUUGGUAGUAAGUGAAUUUCAGAAAUAGGAUAAUAGAAAUAUGGGGGCUCAGAAAUGUACUCUAAUUAGUUGGCUCUCUCUGCUCAAUUUUUCAUUGAAGAAAAAACUUGAUAUCUGUAGUGAAGACUUCUCCUGCAUUGUUUAUUAGAGGUAUUUUGAUUGGUGAUGGCGAGAGCUACUCCAAGAUAUCGGUUACUUAAAACAGAAUUGCGAUUUCACCUAAGAGGGGUAGCUCAAAAAGUCAGGUAUGUAGUUUGCUCCCACAAAGUCUAAGAGGUUCAAGUCUCUUUUGGGUAUUUGCAUAGUAAUUGUUAGUUCUUUGGUCCCCAAAUAAGGCGGGAAACCUAGCUCGAAUAGGCAGAUACACAAAAGAGACUUGAACCUUUUAGAUAUAUUAGGUGUAUGUUACGUGAGCGAAACCCUCCAGAAUGUUCGAGAUGAUGUUGAAUCUCGAACAACAUUCAACUCCUUAAUCCACGAGUCAAAGAAUUGUGGCGUUAUAAUAAAAGGGGAGGAGGGAGCUAUAAAUUGUGGCUCCUCAUGAGAGUUUCAACUCCUUCCACGAAUGUUCGCCAAGAUCCUCUAAGGUGGGUCACCCCCACCUACAACAAGUGCUUCACAUGAGCCCCAACAGAACUGUAGGUGCAUGAAUGCUCUUGAGAUGUAUGUAAAUGAUGACUAGGUUGGUAGACAUUGUCCUUCCAUUUAAGACUCUCAAAAUAAUCACCUUCAUUGGAUAAUUUAGUGUAUGUCACUUUAUCGGGUUCAGUAUGAUUCAAUUUUUUAUGAGAAGGCCACUUAUGCUCAAUCAUCUUCUAGCAAAAUUAGAAACUUUUCUUGGUUAAAAUCUUUAAGAACAAUGGCAAUUUUUCCUAUUCAUCUUUGUUCACAAUUUUGUAAUUUUGAAACAAAUAAGGGAAAAAGGGUAAGCUUGUUAUCUU